Molecule: long non-coding RNA, 597 nt
Organism: Harmonia axyridis
Lineage: Eukaryota; Metazoa; Arthropoda; Insecta; Coleoptera; Coccinellidae
Exons: 3
Source: RefSeq, a predicted model, not a curated record
CUGUAAGUAAAGAUGGAGGUGAGUGAAUUUUUGAUCUAGUGUUUAUAAUUUUUGUACCGAAUCGUAUCAAUAUGAACUAGAUAUGCGAAUUUUGUUCUCAAAUGCUGAAAUGAAAAGAUUAUAAUUUUUGGAACAAAUGGCCGAAUCGCAUGAACAUUACAAUGUAUUGUAUGAAGUAAUCCCCCUGAAUGGUUUAGUGAACUGUGUGCCGAAAUGCAAGGAUUAUAAUUUUUGGAAACUAAUAUAUGAAUCAAUAAAUUCUUUGGAAACGACCGAAGAAUGAUGUCAGAAAGCAUUAUACGAAAACAAUCGGAAUGCUACAGCAAAGCGAAACUAAACUAGUGUACAGUGUGGCCUAUUUCAAAUAUUGUUUAUACCUACUUUUCAUCGACUAAUAUGUAAUUGUUAUUUCUGUGAGAUAUUCUGUUCAAAUUUCGACUUUAACUGUUGGCAAAUUAUUGAUGUACAUAAAGUUAGCAAUUUUUUGAGAUGUAAAUGAUACAAAUAUUAUACGCUGAAUAAACUACAAAUGAGGUUCCGUCCACUAUCAAAAUGCGAAUCAUUAUUUGUAAUUGGAAGCUGAAAAAAAAAGAGAAA